GGCAAGAUCUGGCCAUUUUAUUUCAAUUUUUCUUUCAUCCAUAAUAGUUUAUACUACUGCUUAUGAUGGAUAUUAAAAAUGCAUAUUACUUGGAGCUGGUUGCAUGACUUCUGGUUGAUAAUGCAAGGCUCAGGAGCGCUGUUUGGUCCUCACCUGGGGCUCAGUAAGACUUUCUUUGGAGUUACUGCUCUUUGGUGCUGCACUUCUGGAUGUAGGAAUGGAGAUCGCAGAAAUGUCUAUACAACUCUGAGGAGAAUGCAAGAGAAGACAGCUUCCACAGUGUAAUGGAGCAGGGCUUGGUUUGGCAGGUGCAGGGCUGUGAAGAGGAGAGCUCUGAAAGUGCAAAGAGAAAGGGACAUGUACAGUAGCAUGACUUGGAGGCGAAGAAGGGGUGCAUAUGUGGGAGCAGCAGGAGCAGGCUAUCAGCACAGAGCUAAAGAAGCUGUGGUAACUUUAAAACUCUUCUUACCCAAUGAGAAUAUGACUGCACAAAUUCAACAUGCCUCAGAUGUAUUAGUUUGUUAACUAAUUAAGAAUUCCCAUAAGGGAAUCUUUUUUUUUUUCUUUUUUUUUUCUCCUUUUUCUUUUUUCAGAACAAGUAGACCUUCUGGAUUCUUACAGGCAUGUCAUUGCUUUUUCCUUCAUAGUCUCUCUCUGCUGGAUGAGUUUAUUGACUGCAUUUUAAUGCCUUCUGAAGAACCACACAUAAAAAAAAAAUGCUAAAAAAACCCAACACCUUCACAGUACUCUGGUCUCCAUGGCAAAGGUUUGGCUGCUAUUGCUUUUGAAUAUGAAUUUCGGGAUAUAGUACCGAUAAUCCUAUUAGUCUGUCUAGGAAACAAAAAAAUAUGAAAUGAAAGUUGACUCAGUGUUGAAGGUAAUCUCCUUUAUUGGACUUGUAUGAGAAUACAUGUUUCAAAGAGAAAAAAACGUUGAAAAAUGGCUGUCUCAUCUUUCCGGGGUCUCAGAAAGGCUGAAGUUCCAUGUUUUGACUGUACGAAGGGACUGGGUGUGUUUUAGGUUACUUUAUGUUCACAGUACCCUAUCCAUCUCUUAUACCCUUUAUGGGUAUAACAAAUGAGAGCCGUAACAUGCGGUUUAGGUUCACUCUACUAACUAUAAGCAGACUCUGCAUUAUAUAGUUCAUGAUUACCACUUGAAUUUGUAAGAAAGUUGGCAGGAAUGCCUUCUGCUAGGUGACCUUUGCAAAUGUGGCUGCUGCUGCUACAUGUAGUACCUAGGAAGUUGGUGUUUACUGUACUGGCUCUCUCCAGGGAACCAGAAAGGAGGACACAGCAACUCUUUGAGGCUUGGCAGAAGAAAAUCAGAGAUGUCACUUCCUACUCCAUUCCUGCCAAAUACAGUUAGAACUUUUGCUGCGGAGAACAUCAUUUAGGGAUUGCAAUUAAACCUUGACAUGUGAAAUACUUAAUUUUCAGCAGCUGAUGCUAUAAACGGAAUGCAGAUACUAGGAAUGGAGUAUAAUUUGUUUUUCUUGCAAUGAAUACAAGGUAUAAAGUGUUUAUUGACUUAAAAAGAAAAACUGAACAAACAGAAUAAAGAAGAAAGCAUGCAUGGAUGCUUUGAAGGA
Anser brachyrhynchus (Pink-footed goose) is the source of this 1591-nucleotide long non-coding RNA. The record is from Ensembl. Lineage: Eukaryota; Metazoa; Chordata; Aves; Anseriformes; Anatidae.